CAGAAGCCCCGCCUUUACCAGUUACAGCAAGAUAUACACAGAGAUUAAAACUACAAUUGUGGGCGAACGGCGGCGCGGAUCAGACCAAGGUGGGAAAAGGACUUUGCCAGUAAGUUUCCUGACACUCAGUGGUUGGCAGCAUUUACGGAUCUAGGACGCAUGAGUAAGGGGGAGGUCCCCCGAAACGUCACGUCAUGACCCUGAUGGCUCCCAGGUAGUGAACAUAGACCUCUGCUAUACUGGAUGUGUGCCGACAUCCUAUCUUCUACUUCUGUUUUGUACUACAGAAAAGAUCC
Long non-coding RNA from Hyla sarda, 296 nucleotides. RefSeq lists it as uncharacterized. The record is from RefSeq and is a predicted model, not a curated record. The transcript is spliced from 3 exons. NCBI's taxonomy places the organism in Eukaryota, Metazoa, Chordata, Amphibia, Anura, Hylidae.